Non-coding RNA from Nemania sp. FL0916, 91 nucleotides. The record is from the annotation of a GenBank genome assembly. NCBI's taxonomy places the organism in Eukaryota, Fungi, Ascomycota, Sordariomycetes, Xylariales, Xylariaceae.
GUUUCUGUGGCCUAGUGGUUAUGGCAUCUGUCUUACAACAAAAUUGAAAGUUGAUCACAGAAGAUCCCCGGUUCGAUCCCGGGCAGGAACA